This 689-nucleotide unclassified non-coding RNA is filed under the name Actinomortierella wolfii. Its description in RNAcentral is "sequence contains 18S rRNA gene, ITS1, 5.8S rRNA gene, ITS2". The stretch from base 236 to 389 matches the Rfam family "5.8S ribosomal RNA". The record is from RNAcentral. Lineage: Eukaryota; Fungi; Mortierellomycota; Mortierellomycetes; Mortierellales; Mortierellaceae.
UUCCGUAGGUGAACCUGCGGAAGGAUCAUUCACAAUAAGAAGUGUUUAUGGCACUCUUCAAAAAAUCCAUACCCACCUUGUGUGCAAUGUAAAAAGAGAGAGUGUGUAAAAAAAGUCUAACGAUGCAAAUCGUUUUUAGGCUUUUUUUCUGCUUUCUUCUUUUCAAUUUUAAUAUACACUUUUCUAUAAUACGAUUGUCUGAAAAUGUUAGAGAAUUGACUAAAUUCUAAAACAUAACUUUCAACAACGGAUCUCUUGGCUCUCGCAUCGAUGAAGAACGCAGCGAAAUGCGAUACGUAAUGUGAAUUGCAGAAUUCAGUGAAUCAUCGAAUCUUUGAACGCAUAUUGCGCUCUUUGGUAUUCCGAAGAGCAUGCUUGUUUGAGUAUCAGUAAACACCUCAACCAAAAUUCUAUUUUUUGAAUUUUGGAUGGAUUUGAGCAAACCCAACGGCAAAUGCGCCUAGCAAAUGCGGCGGGUUGCUUGAAAUGCAGGUGCAGCUGUGACAAGAACAGACUGAGCUAAAAGCAUAUCUAUUUAGUCCGUUUCGGCGGAUUAUUUCUAAUUUGCUGCAGCUACUCUAAGGUCCUCUUGUGUGAGCUGACUGAUGCAGGAUUUUGUUAGAAGGCCUUGGUCUUCUUUCAAAAACUCGAUCUCAAAUCAAGUAAGACUACCCGCUGACCUUAAGCAU